GAAAGCCGUAUACAUCGAGAGGUGUACGUACGGUUUGGGGGCGAGUAUCUAAAAACCUACAUUAGAAAUAAUGCAAGGCGUUGGAUACUUAGCCUGC
Non-coding RNA from Peptoniphilus asaccharolyticus DSM 20463, 97 nucleotides. Lineage: Bacteria; Bacillati; Bacillota; Tissierellia; Tissierellales; Peptoniphilaceae. The record is from Rfam.